GACGAACGCUGGCGGCGUGCUUAACACAUGCAAGUCGAACGAUGAAGCCCAGCUUGCUGGGUGGAUUAGUGGCGAACGGGUGAGUAACACGUGAGUAACCUGCCCUGGACUCUGGGAUAACCCCGAGAAAUCGGAGCUAAUACCGGAUAGGACCUUUCCUCGCAUGAGGUUUGGUGGAAAGUUUUUCGGUUUGGGAUGGACUCGCGGCCUAUCAGCUUGUUGGUGAGGUAAUGGCUCACCAAGGCGUCGACGGGUAGCCGGCCUGAGAGGGUGACCGGCCACACUGGGACUGAGACACGGCCCAGACUCCUACGGGAGGCAGCAGUGGGGAAUAUUGCACAAUGGGCGAAAGCCUGAUGCAGCAACGCCGCGUGAGGGAUGACGGCCUUCGGGUUGUAAACCUCUUUCAGUAGGGAAGAAGCGAAAGUGACGGUACCUGCAGAAAAAGCACCGGCUAACUACGUGCCAGCCGCCGCCGUAAUAC
Molecule: ribosomal RNA, 484 nt
Filed under: uncultured bacterium
Lineage: Bacteria
Description: bacterial SSU rRNA
Rfam family: Bacterial small subunit ribosomal RNA
Source: RNAcentral